UCCCUCGUGGCGCAAUUGGAUAGCGCGUUAGACUGUUAAGCCGACUUUGGCGAUCUAAAGGUUGGUGGUUCAAGCCCACCCGGGGGAG
This 88-nucleotide transfer RNA is filed under the name Niveomyces insectorum RCEF 264. RNAcentral describes it as "Sporothrix insectorum RCEF 264 tRNA". It matches the Rfam family "tRNA". Rfam says of the family: Transfer RNA (tRNA) molecules are approximately 80 nucleotides in length. Their secondary structure includes four short double-helical elements and three loops (D, anti-codon, and T loops). The record is from Rfam by way of RNAcentral. Lineage: Eukaryota; Fungi; Ascomycota; Sordariomycetes; Hypocreales; Cordycipitaceae.